RNAcentral lists this ribosomal RNA (497 nucleotides) under uncultured bacterium. RNAcentral's name for it is "partial 16S ribosomal RNA". It matches the Rfam family "Bacterial small subunit ribosomal RNA", at positions 28 to 507 of the family's 1533-position model. The record is from RNAcentral.
GACGAACGCUGGCGGCGUGCUUAACACAUGCAAGUCGAGCGAACAGACGCGGCGUUUGUGUCUCUCACGUUUGCCGAACGCGGGAGAGAAACAUGUGUAUCAUCCCCUUAUCAUUCUGGUAACUUCUCGGGACACCGGCUAUUACCCCGUAUGAUAUCUUGCACCGUAUGGUUCGUAGGUGAAUUUCGGCCGUUGGGGCUUGUCUCGCGGCAUCCCCGCUGCAUUAGCUAGUUGGGCAGGUAAUGGCUUUUCAAGGCAACGAUGCAUAGCCGAGCUGAGAGAGUGAUCGGCCACACUGGAACUGAGACACGGUCCAGACGCCUACGGGAGGCAGCAGUAGGGAAUCUUCCGCAAUGGGCGAAAGCCUGACGGAGCAACGCCGCGUGAGUGAUGAAGGUCUUCGGAUCGUAAAACUCUGUUAUUAGGGGAGAACAUAUGUGUAAGUAGCUGUGCACAUCUUGACGGUACCUAAUCAGAAAGCCACGGCUAACUACGUG